GUGGGGAAUAUUGGACAAUGGGCGAAAGCCUGAUCCAGCCAUGCCGCGUGUGUGAAGAAGGUCUUCGGAUUGUAAAGCACUUUAAGUUGGGAGGAAGGGCAGUAAGUUAAUACCUUGCUGUUUUGACGUUACCGACAGAAUAAGCACCGGCUAACUUCGUGCCAGCAGCCGCGGUAAUACGAAGGGUGCAAGCGUUAAUCGGAAUUACUGGGCGUAAAGCGCGCGUAGGUGGUUUUGUAAGUUGGAGGUGAAAUCCCCGGGCUCAACCUGGGAACUGCCUCCAAAACUGCAUGACUAGAGUACGAUAGAGGUUAGUGGAAUUUCCUGUGUAGCGGUGAAAUGCGUAGAUAUAGGAAGGAACACCAGUGGAGAAGGCGACUACCUGGACUGAUACUGACACUGAGGUGCGAAAGCGUGGGGAGCAAACAGGAUUAGAAACCCUAGUAGUCC
Molecule: ribosomal RNA, 450 nt
Filed under: uncultured bacterium
Lineage: Bacteria
Description: bacterial SSU rRNA
Rfam family: Bacterial small subunit ribosomal RNA
Source: RNAcentral